Molecule: ribosomal RNA, 468 nt
Filed under: uncultured bacterium
Lineage: Bacteria
Description: partial 16S ribosomal RNA
Rfam family: Bacterial small subunit ribosomal RNA
Source: RNAcentral
GAUGAACGCUGGCGGCGUGCUUAACACAUGCAAGUCGAUCGGAAAGGCCCAAGCUUGCUUCGGUACUCGAGUGGCGAACGGGUGAGUAACACGUGGGUGAUCUGCCCUGCACUUCGGGAUAAGCCUGGGAAACUGGGUCUAAUACCGGAUAGGACGAUGGUUUGGAUGCCAUUGUGGAAAGUUUUUUCGGUGUGGGAUGAGCUCGCGGCCUAUCAGCUUGUUGGUGGGGUAAUGGCCUACCAAGGCGUCGACGGGUAGCCGGCCUGAGAGGGUGUACGGCCACAUUGGGACUGAGAUACGGCCCAGACUCCUACGGGAGGCAGCAGUGGGGAAUAUUGCACAAUGGGCGCAAGCCUGAUGCAGCGACGCCGCGUGGGGGAUGACGGCCUUCGGGUUGUAAACUCCUUUCGCUAGGGACGAAGCGUUUUUGUGACGGUACCUGGAGAAGAAGCACCGGCUAACUACGUG